This 492-nucleotide ribosomal RNA is filed under the name uncultured bacterium. RNAcentral describes it as "bacterial SSU rRNA". It matches the Rfam family "Bacterial small subunit ribosomal RNA", at positions 28 to 518 of the family's 1533-position model. The record is from RNAcentral.
GAUGAACGCUAGCGGCAGGCUUAACACAUGCAAGUCGAGGGGCAGCACGUCUUCGGAUGGUGGCGACCGGCGCACGGGUGCGUAACGCGUAUACAACCUACCUUAUAGAGGGGAAUAGCCCAGAGAAAUUUGGAUUAAUGCCCCAUAGUAUUAUUGAAUAGCAUUAUUUGAUGAUUAAACAUUUAUGGCUAUAAGAUGGGUAUGCGUUCUAUUAGCUAGAUGGUAAGGUAACGGCUUACCAUGGCGACGAUAGAUAGGGGUCCUGAGAGGGAGAUCCCCCACACUGGUACUGAGACACGGACCAGACUCCUACGGGAGGCAGCAGUGAGGAAUAUUGGACAAUGGGCGAGAGCCUGAUCCAGCCAUGCCGCGUGCAGGAAGACGGCCCUAUGGGUUGUAAACUGCUUUUAUACGGGAAGAAACACUCCUUCGUGAAGGAGCUUGACGGUACCGUAAGAAUAAGGAUCGGCUAACUCCGUGCCAGCAGCCGAC